GUUUGCCUUAGUUUUUUUUAAUUUUUGUUUUAUUUCCGGGCUGCUUAUUGAUCCAUCCUGGGUCUGCAAUAAACCAAAUGAUUUCUGGUAAGGUUUGACCAAGUGAGAUGGAAAAUCAAGUGGUAAACUCCAAAACAGGCUUGCAUAUUGGAGACUUAUCCACCACAUGGUGAUGCCUUCCCUGACCUCCUUGAUUGCAGUGUGGGAUGUGCCCUGAUCCUUGGAAAGGGGUGAGUGAUUCCUGCAUCCUCACUAGAAGGUAAU
This 264-nucleotide long non-coding RNA is filed under the name Gallus gallus (chicken). Lineage: Eukaryota; Metazoa; Chordata; Aves; Galliformes; Phasianidae. The record is from RNAcentral.